RNAcentral lists this unclassified non-coding RNA (1132 nucleotides) under Leishmania donovani. Its description in RNAcentral is "gene:LdHU3.27.1670(CDS-product:hypothetical_prote in_conserved)". The record is from RNAcentral. Lineage: Eukaryota; Euglenozoa; Kinetoplastea; Trypanosomatida; Trypanosomatidae.
GCUUUCUGUGCCUGCUCCCCACAUGUGAACCCAACUGCGCACACCGUCACGCGCAUCCACAGUGGCGCGCGCACGCCUAGUUUUUGUACCUUGCCUUUCGCAAAUACUGGAAAGGGAGCAGGCAUGAGCGGGGCUGGUCGCAAGCAUCGUGCGAAGCACCUCACCCAGCAGUACCUCGACGCAUCUGGGUGGGCAGGCCCCAAAGAGGGCGAGAGGUUGGCGAUCUGCAUGGAGUCGCCGCACGGGCAGCACGUCCGCGUCCUUCUCCUAGCGCCCCCGAACAGCGCACCCGCGAGCUUAUCUACCGAGACCCCGACUCCGGGCGGUAGCAGCUCGAGCGAUGCUCCGCAUGGCGCGGAGGAGUCGGAGGCGGUUGUAUCCACGGCGCCUCUCUUAGAGGUCGAGCAAGUCGUGCAUCUGCCCAGGAAGUUUCACAAGGUCAUCUGGCUCAGCAUUAAGGACGUGGUAGUGAUCGCAGACGGCACUGUUAGCUCUAAACCGUCUCCUGAGCAAGUGGAGAACUUUCUCAAGGAUCCGAGGAACAAGGGGUGGCGCGAGCGCGUGGCGACGGCGCAGCACCGCGCUGAGGACCAGCGCGCUGUCCUGCAGCGCAUGCCGCAUUACGCCGCCACAGCGCAGACGACGACAUCGGUGCUUACCGGGCCUCAGGUCCGUUCAGGCGUGCGCGCGACGGCCAACGGCGCGUCGGAGCAGGACGGCGAGGGAAGCGAGAGCGAGGCAGAUGAUGUGUGCAAUCCGAACUGGCGCAACAUCAAGCACCAGCAGCAGUUCUUCUACGGCCUCGGCGACGAUAGUGACGAAGAAGUUGAAGAGGAAGAGGACGCAUAAACGAACAGCUCUCCAGUCGCGUCCACACCGCACCCACGCGAAGACGACAGCGUGAAGCUGAGACACAUGUGCAGGUAUGCCUUUUUAUGUGCUUGUGAGCCUGCGAUUGUGCUGAGAUGGUGACGGAGGGCCGUGCCUGGUGUUCCCCUCCCUCGCUGCACAUGCCGUCUGUGAGUGGUUAUGCGUCGUGAGCAAAGGUGGUGACCCACACCAAACGGAGCGAAAAGCUUGUAGGCGAGCUUCCCUGCUGAGCUCCACGUAAAAGACUAACAGGAAAACCAAG